RNAcentral lists this ribosomal RNA (815 nucleotides) under uncultured organism. RNAcentral's name for it is "bacterial SSU rRNA". It matches the Rfam family "Bacterial small subunit ribosomal RNA", at positions 501 to 1333 of the family's 1533-position model. The record is from RNAcentral.
CUACGUGCCAGCAGCCGCGGUAAGACGUAGGACGCAAGCGUUAUCCGGAUUUACUGGGCGUAAAGCGCCUGUAGGCGGUCAAGUAAGUCGGAUGUGAAAGCCCCGUGCUCAACGCGGGGAAGCCAUUCGAUACUGCGUGACUAGAGAACGGCAGAGGGAAACGGAAUUUCUGGUGUAGCGGUAAAAUGCGCAGAGAUCAGAAAGAACACCGAUGGCGAAGGCAGUUUCCUAGGCCGCAUCUGACGCUGAGAGGCGAAAGCUAGGGGAGCAAACAGGAUUAGAGACCCUGGUAGUCCUAGCUGUAAACGAUGGAUGCUAGGUGUGGGCCGGAAAGGUCCGUGCCGUAGUUAACGCGAUAAGCAUCCCGCCUGGGGAGUACGGCCGCAAGGCUAAAACUCAAACGAAUUGACGGGGACCCGCACAAGCAGCGGAGCGUGUGGUUUAAUUCGAUGCUACACACAGAACCUUACCUGGGCUUGACAUGUAGGUGGUAGUGAAGUGAAAGCGGAGCGACCCUUCGGGGAGCCUACACAGGUGCUGCAUGGCUGUCGUCAGCUCGUGCCGUGAGGUGUCGGGUUAAGUCCCGUAACGAGCGCAACCCUUGUCCUUAGUUACAAGUGUCUAAGGAGACUGCCGGUGACAAACCGGAGGAAGGUGGGGAUGACGUCAAGUCAGCAUGGCCCUUAUGUCCAGGGCGACACACACGCCACAAUGGUCGGUACAAUGGGCAGCGCAGCCGCGAGGUGAAGCGAAUCCCAACAAAGCCGAUCCCAGUUCGGAUUGCAGGCUGCAACCCGCCUGCAGAAGCCGGAGUU